RNAcentral lists this ribosomal RNA (467 nucleotides) under uncultured bacterium. Its description in RNAcentral is "partial 16S ribosomal RNA". It matches the Rfam family "Bacterial small subunit ribosomal RNA", at positions 28 to 506 of the family's 1533-position model. The record is from RNAcentral.
GACGAACGCUGGCGGCGUGCUUAACACAUGCAAGUCGAACGGAAAGGCCCUGCUUUUGUGGGGUGCUCGAGUGGCGAACGGGUGAGUAACACGUGAGUAACCUGCCCUUGACUUUGGGAUAACUUCAGGAAACUGGGGCUAAUACCGGAUAGGAGCUCCUGCUGCAUGGUGGGGGUUGGAAAGUUUCGGCGGUUGGGGAUGGACUCGCGGCUUAUCAGCUUGUUGGUGGGGUAGUGGCUUACCAAGGCUUUGACGGGUAGCCGGCCUGAGAGGGUGACCGGCCCCAUGGGGACUGGGAUACGGCCCAGACUCCGACGGGGGGCAGGGGGGGGAAAUAUUGCAAAAUGGGGGGAGGCCUGAGGCAGAAACGCCGGGGGGGGGAGGGCGGCCUUCGGGUUGUAAACCGUUUUCGCCUGGGACGAAGGGUGGGUGACGGUAAUGGGUAAAGAAGCACCGGCUAACUACGG